GGGGGCGUGUUGUAAUUGGCAGCCUGGUCGUUUACCAAACCACUGGAGCGGGUUCGAACCCCGUCGCCUCCACCA
This 75-nucleotide transfer RNA is filed under the name Actinomycetes bacterium. RNAcentral's name for it is "tRNA-Gly". It matches the Rfam family "tRNA". From Rfam's summary of the family: Transfer RNA (tRNA) molecules are approximately 80 nucleotides in length. Lineage: Bacteria; Bacillati; Actinomycetota; Actinomycetes. The record is from RNAcentral.